GAUGAAGAACGUAGCGAAAUGCGAUAAGUAAUGUGAAUUGCAGAAUUCAGUGAAUCAUCGAAUCUUUGAACGCACAUUGCGCCCCCUGGUAUUCCGGGGGGCAUGCCUGUUCGAGCGUCAUUUCACCACUCAAGCCUCGCUUGGUAUUGGGCAACGCGGUCCGCCGCGUGCCUCAAAUCGACCGGCUGGGUCUUCUGUCCCCUAAGCGUUGUGGAAACUAUUCGCUAAAGGUUGCUCGGGAGGCUACGCCGUAAAACAAACCCAUUUCUAAGGUUGACCUCGGAUCAGGUAGGGAUACCCGCUGAACUUAAGCAUAUCAAUAAGCGGAGGA
RNAcentral lists this unclassified non-coding RNA (331 nucleotides) under soil metagenome. Its description in RNAcentral is "partial contains 5.8S ribosomal RNA, internal transcribed spacer 2, and large subunit ribosomal RNA". The stretch from base 1 to 120 matches the Rfam family "5.8S ribosomal RNA", at positions 35 to 154 of the family's 154-position model. The record is from RNAcentral.